Non-coding RNA from Triticum aestivum (bread wheat), 109 nucleotides. NCBI's taxonomy places the organism in Eukaryota, Viridiplantae, Streptophyta, Magnoliopsida, Poales, Poaceae. The record is from Rfam.
UGUUUGCUGUGAUGAAUCGCAAGGACGGUAUCUGAGUGAGGCGGCUCUUGAAAAAUGGCCCCCUUCCUUGAUUACACACCCUGGACUGAUCAUAAACUCUGAGCAAACA